RNAcentral lists this ribosomal RNA (253 nucleotides) under uncultured bacterium. RNAcentral describes it as "partial 16S ribosomal RNA". It matches the Rfam family "Bacterial small subunit ribosomal RNA", at positions 524 to 776 of the family's 1533-position model. The record is from RNAcentral.
UACGAAGGGGGCUAGCGUUGCUCGGAAUCACUGGGCGUAAAGCGCACGUAGGCGGACUCUUAAGUCGGUGGUGAAAUCCUGGAGCUCAACUCCAGAACUGCCUUCGAUACUGAGAGUCUCGAGUCCGGGAGAGGUGAGUGGAACUGCGAGUGUAGAGGUGAAAUUCGUAGAUAUUCGCAAGAACACCAGUGGCGAAGGCGGCUCACUGGCCCGGUACUGACGCUGAGGUGCGAAAGCGUGGGUAGCGAACAGG